RNAcentral lists this ribosomal RNA (119 nucleotides) under Ailuropoda melanoleuca (giant panda). The record is from RNAcentral. RNAcentral also lists the same sequence under 1 other name. Lineage: Eukaryota; Metazoa; Chordata; Mammalia; Carnivora; Ursidae.
GUCUACGGCCAUACCACCCUGAACGCGCCCGAUCUCGUCUGAUCUUGGAAGCUAAGCAGGGUCGGGCCCGGUUAGUACUUGGAUGGGAGACCGCCUGGGAAUACCGGGUGCUGUAGGCU